GGGGAUGCUUAGGUUUCGACAGGAAUAUUUAGGUAUAAAUGGCAAGUGGAAGGUACUCCUUACGUACAAAAACCGAAUAAACGGAAACAAAUUAAAAAAUGCAUUUGCUAGAGCUUUCAGAGGAAACGCUGUAGCAUUCGCCUAAUUUAAUAUAAAGGCAUGCGCUCUUCUUUAAUUUUCUCCUAUUGGAUUUUAGAAGGGCUCGAUUAAAUAGGAUAUAUUAUUACUUAGUCUUGAAGUAAUAACGAAAUUUAAAGACUUACUAAAUAAUUGUUUGUUUACUAACGUAUUAUUUAGGACAUUUAUUAGUAAACUAAACUUGUAGAUAUUUAUACUCGCGUAUUUUUGGACAGGAGUUCGAUUCUCCUCAUCUCCACCA
RNAcentral lists this transfer-messenger RNA (379 nucleotides) under Bacilli. RNAcentral describes it as "OMSK01 sp900313725 Standard tmRNA". It matches the Rfam family "transfer-messenger RNA". Rfam says of the family: Bacterial tmRNA, also known as 10Sa RNA or SsrA, is named for its dual tRNA and mRNA-like properties. Its role is to liberate the mRNA from a stalled ribosome. Lineage: Bacteria; Bacillati; Bacillota. RNAcentral also lists the same sequence under 1 other name. The record is from RNAcentral.